CAGCAGCCGCCACGGUAAUACGUAGGUGGCAAGCGUUGUCCGGAAUGAUUGGGCGUAAAGGGCGCGCAGGCGGCUGUGUAAGUCUGUCUAGAAAGUGCGGGGCUAAACCCCGUGAGAGGAUGGAAACUGGACAGCUGAGAGUGUCGGAGAGGAAAGCGGAAUUCCUAGUGUAGCGGUGAAAUGCGUAGAUAUUAGGAGGAACACCGGUGGCGAAAGCGGCUCUCUGGCUUGUAACUGACACUGAGGCUCGAAAGCCAGGGGAGCGAACGGGAUUAGAUACCCCUGUAGUCCCUGUCUCUUAUAA
Molecule: ribosomal RNA, 304 nt
Filed under: uncultured bacterium
Lineage: Bacteria
Description: partial 16S ribosomal RNA
Rfam family: Bacterial small subunit ribosomal RNA
Source: RNAcentral